Molecule: unclassified non-coding RNA, 351 nt
Filed under: soil metagenome
Description: partial contains 5.8S ribosomal RNA, internal transcribed spacer 2, and large subunit ribosomal RNA
Rfam family: 5.8S ribosomal RNA (bases 1-120)
Source: RNAcentral
GAUGAAGAACGCAGCGAAUUGCGAUAAGUAAUGUGAAUUGCAGAAUUCCGUGAAUCAUCGAAUCUUUGAACGCACAUUGCGCCCCCUGGCAUUCCGGGGGGCAUGCCUGUCCGAGCGUCAUUUCUGCCCUCAAGCCCGGCUUGUGUGUUGGGCGUGGUCCCCCCGGUUUAGGGGGGACCUGCCCGAAAGGCAGCGGCGACGUUCCGCCUAGGUCCUCGAGCGUAUGGGGCUUUGUCACCCGCUCGGGAGGGGCCUACGGGCGUUGGCCAUCCACCAUUUAUUUUUUUUACGGUUGACCUCGGAUCAGGUAGGAGUUACCCGCUGAACUUAAGCAUAUCAAUAAGCGGAGGA